RNAcentral lists this long non-coding RNA (235 nucleotides) under Jatropha curcas. RNAcentral's name for it is "long non-coding RNA (JCUR_LNC000638)". The record is from RNAcentral. Lineage: Eukaryota; Viridiplantae; Streptophyta; Magnoliopsida; Malpighiales; Euphorbiaceae.
UUGAGUCUACGUCUAUCAGGAGUGCCUUAGGAUAUGAUGGAUUAAGUGCGAAGGGUUUAUUAGUUCAAAAAAACAAAAAAGAAUGAGAAUAAAAAAUGUUAUGGAGGGAAAAAAGAACUAAAUUGGGGACAUAAGAGAAAUUAAAGAAAUUAAGAGCUUGAAAGAAAAGGAAGGUAGAGAGAGAAGAAAAAAGUAAUGAGAAAUAUAGUAAAUGUUUGGUAUAGUUGGAGUUAGU